UGCCCUCCUUGUUGGGGGAGAGGAAGACUUUGAGCCAAAGAGUUGUGCAGUUCCCACUCCUCAUAUUUCCUGAUGAGAGUUUUAUUUUGGAUGUGAAAGGUUUGGGAAAUCCAGAGAGAAGGAGGCAAUUAGAAGAGGUGAUUUAUCAAAACAGAAUAGAGAUUGUGGGAGUACAAGAAACAAUUAGAGAAAAUUUCACUAUGUAUGAGUUAGAAACAUUGUGUGGCGGCAUGGAUUUCCAAUGGUUGACAAAACCUGCUGAUGGCCACUCAGGUGGUCUGCUUCUAGGGGUCAACUUGGAGAUUUUUGAAGCAGGGGAAAUGGAUAAGAGAUGGGUGGUGAUUAAUGUUUAUGGACCAGUGCAAGGAGAUAAGAAGGAAAGAUUUUUGUUGGAACUUGAAAAAAAGAUUGCUGAUCAAAGUCAUCAUGUCUUGCUGGGUGGGGAUUUUAAUAUGAUAAGAUGUGCUAAGGAAACAAUGGUCAGGUCAAUAGAAGAUGGAUGGAGAGAUUCAAUGACUAUCACAAACCAGGAACUUAGAGAGGUGCAUAGACUGGGAAGUAAAUACACCUGGACAAACAUACAAAAAAAC
This 590-nucleotide long non-coding RNA is filed under the name Oryza sativa Indica Group (long-grained rice). RNAcentral's name for it is "lncRNA OsIR64_12g0008210". The record is from RNAcentral. Lineage: Eukaryota; Viridiplantae; Streptophyta; Magnoliopsida; Poales; Poaceae.